Molecule: ribosomal RNA, 375 nt
Filed under: Triticum aestivum (bread wheat)
Lineage: Eukaryota; Viridiplantae; Streptophyta; Magnoliopsida; Poales; Poaceae
Description: partial small subunit ribosomal RNA
Source: RNAcentral
AUGCUACCAGUUCGUUCUGCCUUUUUGAACUCUGUCAACCAAAGCCUUUUUGUGAUGUUCUGUCUUGGAUCCCGUCAAGACCGCCUCAAGUUCGACUACGGUGUGCUGCCCCGACCAAGACCGCAAGUACCUGACGACCCCCGGAGACCUUGGAUAUGCCAAGUUCCUUUCCGAACGUGUACGACUACAUAUCCGUGGGCGUCAAGUUCCUCUACGAAAACGAGUACCACUACCGUCGCCUUGUACCACUACUUCCACUACCGUCGCGAGAACGACUACUUCCACUACGGCCUGUGUACCACUACUUCCUUCGACGAACUUGAUCCGUUCCGAAAAUACACGCUUCAAAGCUUCGGUUUCGUUCCGGAGUUGUGA